RNAcentral lists this ribosomal RNA (260 nucleotides) under uncultured Actinomycetes bacterium. Its description in RNAcentral is "uncultured actinobacterium partial 16S ribosomal RNA". It matches the Rfam family "Bacterial small subunit ribosomal RNA", at positions 28 to 276 of the family's 1533-position model. Lineage: Bacteria; Bacillati; Actinomycetota; Actinomycetes. The record is from RNAcentral.
GACGAACGCUGGCGGCGUGCUUAACACAUGCAAGCCGAACGCGCUUGGCCUUUUUUGGGUUGGGUGAGUGGCGAACGGGUGAGUAACACGUGGGUGACCUGCCUUGAGCUCUGGGAUAAGCCUGGGAAACUGGGUCUAAUACUGGAUAUGACCAAUUCUUGCAUGGGGUUGGUGAAAGUUUUGUUCUUGUUGGACAUUUCGGCUCGAGAUGGGCCCGCGGCCUAUCAGCUUGUUGGUGGGGUGAUGGCUUACCAAGGCGG